AGCAUAAUCAUUAGUCUUUUAAUUGAAGGCUGGUAUGAAUGGUCGGAUGAAAUAUUAACUGUUUCAAUUAAAAUUAUUAUAGAAUUUUAUUUUUUAGUAAAAAAGCUAAAAUAAAAUUAAAAGACGAGAAGACCCUAUAAAUCUUUAUAUUUAAUUUAUUUAAAUGAAAAAGAUUUUUUUUAUUUAAAUAACUUUAAAUAUUUUAUUGGGGUGAUAAUUAAAUUUAAUAAACUUUAAUAAAUUAAGUCAUUAAUUUAUGAAUAUUUGAUCCAUUAAUAUUGAUUAAAAAUUUAAGUUACUUUAGGGAUAACAGCGUAAUUUUUUUGGAGAGUUCAUAUCGAUAAAAAAGAUUGCGACCUCGAUGUUGGAUUAAGAGAUAAAUUUGGGCGCAGCCGUUCAAAAUUUUAGUCUGUUCGACUAUUAAAUUCUUACAUGAUCUGAGUUCAAACCGGCGUAAGCCAGGUUGGUUUCUAUCUUUAAUAAUUGAAAAUAUUUUAGUACGAAAGGACCAAGUGUU
This 517-nucleotide ribosomal RNA is filed under the name Endopterygota sp. 24 LC-2017. RNAcentral describes it as "partial 16S ribosomal RNA". It matches the Rfam family "Bacterial large subunit ribosomal RNA", at positions 1958 to 2700 of the family's 2925-position model. The record is from RNAcentral. Lineage: Eukaryota; Metazoa; Arthropoda; Insecta.